Aricia agestis (brown argus) is the source of this 93-nucleotide long non-coding RNA. RefSeq lists it as uncharacterized. The transcript has 3 exons. NCBI's taxonomy places the organism in Eukaryota, Metazoa, Arthropoda, Insecta, Lepidoptera, Lycaenidae. The record is from RefSeq and is a predicted model, not a curated record.
CCAGAGCACGUCCAUUCACAAUAAAAAAUCACGUGGAACUGGUUACCCUACCAAAACGCUGUUUUUCGCGACGCCGCGCCGCUAAAAUCGGCG